Molecule: ribosomal RNA, 640 nt
Filed under: uncultured bacterium
Lineage: Bacteria
Description: bacterial SSU rRNA
Rfam family: Bacterial small subunit ribosomal RNA
Source: RNAcentral
UAAAGAUUCAUCGGCUGCGGAUGGCCAUGCGGCGCAUUAGCUAGUCGGCGGGGUAACGGCCCACCGAGGCGACGAUGCGUAGGGGUUCUGAGAGGAAGGUCCCCCACACUGGUACUGAGACACGGACCAGACUCCUACGGGAGGCAGCAGUGAGGAAUAUUGGUCAAUGGCCGGGAGGCUGAACCAGCCAAGUCGCGUGAGGGAAGACGGCCCUACGGGUUGUAAACCUCUUUUGUCAGGGAGCAAGAGGCGGGUCGAGACCUGCUGUGAGAGUACCUGAAGAAAAAGCAUCGGCUAACUCCGUGCCAGCAGCCGCGGUAAUACGGAGGAUGCGAGCGUUAUCCGGAUUUAUUGGGUUUAAAGGGUGCGCAGGCGGAGGCACAAGUCGGCGGUAAAAUCGCGGGGCUCAACCCCGCUCCGCCGUUGAAACUGUGUCCCUUGAGUGCGCGAAGGGUAGGCGGAAUGCGUGGUGUAGCGGUGAAAUGCAUAGAUAUCACGCAGAACUCCGAUCGCGAAGGCAGCCUACCGGCGCGCAACUGACGCUCAUGCACGAAAGCGUGGGUAUCGAACAGGAUUAGAUACCCUGGUAGUCCACGCAGUAAACGAUGAAUGCUAUCUGUCCGGCCGGAAUGACGGCUGG